RNAcentral lists this ribosomal RNA (468 nucleotides) under uncultured bacterium. RNAcentral describes it as "partial 16S ribosomal RNA". It matches the Rfam family "Bacterial small subunit ribosomal RNA", at positions 28 to 507 of the family's 1533-position model. The record is from RNAcentral.
GACGAACGCUGGCGGCGUGCUUAACACAUGCCAGUCGAACGGAAAGGCCCUGCUUUUGUGGGGUGCUCGAGUGGCGAACGGGUGAGUAACACGUGAGUAACCUGCCCUUGACUUUGGGAUAACUUCAGGAAACUGGGGCUAAUACCGUAUAGGAGCUCCCGUUGCAGGGUGGGGGUUGGAAAGUUUCGGCGGUUGGGGAUGGACUCGCGGCUUACCAGCUUGUUGGUGGGGUAGUGGCUUACCAAGGCUUUGCCGGGUCCCCGGCCGGAGAGGGUGACCGGCCACAUUGGGACUGAGAUACGGCCCAGACUCCUACGGGAGGCAGCGGUGGGGAAUAUUGCACAAUGGGCGGAAGCCUGAUGCGGCAACGCCGCGUGCGGGAUGACGGCCUUCGGGUUGUAAACCGCUUUCGCCUGUGACGAAGCGUGAGUGACGGUAAUGGGUAAAGAAGCACCGGCUAACUACGUG